Molecule: ribosomal RNA, 492 nt
Filed under: uncultured bacterium
Lineage: Bacteria
Description: partial 16S ribosomal RNA
Rfam family: Bacterial small subunit ribosomal RNA
Source: RNAcentral
AGUGAACGCUGGCGGUAGGCCUAACACAUGCAAGUCGAACGGCAGCACAGUAAGAGCUUGCUCUUACGGGUGGCGAGUGGCGGACGGGUGAGGAAUACAUCGGAAUCUACUUUUUCGUGGGGGAUAACGUAGGGAAACUUACGCUAAUACCGCAUACGACCUACGGGUGAAAGCAGGGGAUCUUCGGACCUUGCGCGAUUGAAUGAGCCGAUGUCGGAUUAGCUAGUUGGCGGGGUAAAGGCCCACCAAGGCGACGAUCCGUAGCUGGUCUGAGAGGAUGAUCAGCCACACUGGAACUGAGACACAGUCCAGACUCCUACGGGAGGCAGCAGUGGGGAAUAUUGGACAAUGGGCGCAAGCCUGAUCCAGCCAUACCGCGUGGGUGAAGAAGGCCUUCGGGUUGUAAAGCCCUUUUGUUGGGAAAGAAAAGCAGCAGGUUAAUACCCCGCUGUUCUGACGGUACCCAAAGGAUAAGCACCGGCUAACUUCGUG